This 87-nucleotide transfer RNA is filed under the name Caudoviricetes sp. Its description in RNAcentral is "tRNA-Ser". It matches the Rfam family "tRNA". From Rfam's summary of the family: Transfer RNA (tRNA) molecules are approximately 80 nucleotides in length. Their secondary structure includes four short double-helical elements and three loops (D, anti-codon, and T loops). Lineage: Duplodnaviria; Heunggongvirae; Uroviricota; Caudoviricetes. The record is from RNAcentral.
GGACAGUUAGCCUAAUGGUAAGGCAGCAGUUUGCUAAACUGUGAGCGUUUACACGCUUUAUCGGUUCGAGUCCGAUACUGUCCGCCA